UACAGUCAUAUCAUAUUGAAACACCAAUUCUUGUAUGAUCACCAAAGUUAAGCAAUGCAGAGUCUAGUCAGUACCAAGAUGGCUGACCACUUGGGAAUACCAGGUGCUGUAAG
Non-coding RNA from Acanthosepion pharaonis, 113 nucleotides. NCBI's taxonomy places the organism in Eukaryota, Metazoa, Mollusca, Cephalopoda, Sepiida, Sepiidae. The record is from the annotation of a GenBank genome assembly.